UGCAAGUCGCGUGCGCAGUCUGUAGCAAUACAGGCCGGCGCACGGCGCACGGGUGCGUAACACGUGGGCAAUCUGCCCUCUGAUGGGGAAUAACCCCGCGAAAGCGGGGCUAAUACCGCAUAACAUUUCGAGGACUUCGGUCCUUGAACUGAAAGCAGUAAUGCGUCGGAGGAGGAGCCCGCGCCCGAUUAGCUAGUUGGUGAGGUAACGGCUCACCAAGGCAAUGAUCGGUAGCUGGUCUGAGAGGAUGAUCAGCCACACUGGAACUGAGACACGGUCCAGACUCCUACGGGAGGCAGCAGUGGGGAAUCUUGCACAAUGGGCGAAAGCCUGAUGCAGCGACGCCGCGUGGGGGAUGAAGCUUUUCGGAGUGUAAACCCCUUUCGACUGGGACGAAAACCCGCAAGGGAUUGACGGUACCAGUAUAAGAAGCCCCGGCUAACUACGUGCCAGCAGCCGCGGUAAGACGUAGGGGGCCAGCGUUGUUCGGAAUUACUGGGUGUAAAGGGUUCGUAGGCGGUGUGGCAAGUCGGGAGUGAAAUCUCUGGGCUCAACCCAGAGGCUGCUUCCGAAACUGCCGUGCUUGAGUGUGAGAGAGGCUCGUGGAAUUGCAGGUGUAGCGGUGAAAUGCGUAGAUAUCUGCAGGAACACCCGUGGCGAAAGCGGCGAGCUGGAUCACUACUGACGCUGAGGAACGAAAGCUAGGGGAGCAAACAGGAUUAGAUACCCUGGUAGUCCUAGCCCUAAACGAUCAGGACUUGGGGUGCCGC
Molecule: ribosomal RNA, 770 nt
Filed under: uncultured Acidobacteriota bacterium
Lineage: Bacteria; Pseudomonadati; Acidobacteriota
Description: bacterial SSU rRNA
Rfam family: Bacterial small subunit ribosomal RNA
Source: RNAcentral